This is an RNA transcript of Hibiscus syriacus, 7207 nucleotides long. It is a transcript of the gene named mediator of RNA polymerase II transcription subunit 12-like, with no coding region annotated. The record is from RefSeq and is a predicted model, not a curated record. Lineage: Eukaryota; Viridiplantae; Streptophyta; Magnoliopsida; Malvales; Malvaceae. The transcript has 14 exons.
CUUUUUUGUUUCCCUUUACUUUCUCUCUCUAGAUUUCACCCCCUUUUCUGCUUCGAAAUCCCUAUUUUUUUUAAAACCAGAGGUAGGCUUCCUUUCUUUGCGUGCAAUCUCAAUCUUCCUAGAUUUGAUUCUGGAAGAAGUAUGCCGCUGAUAGUUAGGAGAAAUGCAAAGAUAUCAUGCUGCCGGCUGCAGUAGUGCAGUUAAUAACAGUAUAGGAGGAGCCACAGCUAGGGAUACUUCCCGGGCUGACUCAUCUUCAGUACCAUCCAAAUUUUCAUUGAAUUCUAGGUGGCAUUCUCAGUUAGCUCCCUACAAGUUGAAGUGUGACAAGGAACCUCUGAAUUCCAGACUCGCCCCCCCUGAUUUUCAUCCUCAUACUCAAAAUUGUCCCGAGGAGACCCUCACUAGAGAAAAUGUGCACCAGGGAUAUAAGGAGACUAUUGAUGGACUGGAGGAUUUGAAAGAGACUUCAUCGACUCAGGUUCAGGUUUUUACGAAGCCAGUUGUUCUGAAAUGCAGAGAUGCAAUCAGAAAGUGUCUAAGGGCUAUCAAUGAAUCGCGUGCUCAAAAGAGGAAGGCUGGCCAGGUUUAUGGUGUUUCUCUUUCUGGUUCACUGUUAAGUAAACCAGUGGUUUUCCCUGAACAAAGGCCAUGCAAUGAAGAUUUCAAGAAAAAAUGGAUUGAGGGCUUAUCACUGCAACACAAACCUUUGUGUUCUUUGGCUGAUCAAGUUCCUCAAGGGUAUAAGAAAAGAACACUAAUAGAGGUUCUUAUCAGGAAUAAUGUUCCAUUGCUGAGAGCAACUUGGUUUAUCAAAAUAACAUAUCUUAAUCAGGUUCGUUCUGGCGCUGCAAUUUCUUCUGGAUCACCUGAUAGAUCUCAAUUAUCGCGCACGGAGCUCUGGACGAAAGAUGUUAUUGAUUACAUGCAGUAUCUUUUGGACGAUUUUUUUUCGCUAAAUAAUUCUCAUUCUGCUCAACAUGAUAGAGAUCGAUUUCCACAAGUGGUUUAUACUGGGUCUUUGCACCAUAGGAGUGAUCUGGGACCAGCAAUUACUGAAGGUGGUGAACUGACCCUUCACUUUAAGUGGUUGUAUGUAGUGCGGCUCUUGCAGUGGCAUCAUGCAGAAGGAUUGGUUCAUCCUUCACUUAUCAUUGAUUGGGUUCUGAAUCAACUGCAGGAAAAAGAAUUGCUUGAGACUCUGCAGUUGCUAUUGCCUAUCAUUUAUGGAGUUCUGGAAACCAUCAUUUUAUGUCUGACGUAUGUACGCAAUCUUGUGGGUGUAGCUAUUCGCUUCAUUCGCGAGCCUUCUCCAGGUGGAUCUGAUUUGGUUGAUAACUCCCAGAGAGCCUACACAAUAUCUGCACUUGUUGAGAUGCUUCGCUAUUUGAUACAGGCUGUGCCAGAUACAUUUGUUGCUUUAGAUUGCUUUCCCUUACCAACUUGUGUGAUCUCACAUUCAUCGAGUGAUGGUUUUUUAUCCAAGUUCUCAGACGAUGCUGAGAAAAUAAAAAUUUAUUCGGCAGAUGCAUAUGUUGUCAAAGGUAAAGGGUUUGACUCUCAAUACCAAUCCUUGUCAUUUAACCAUGUUGUUUCCACCAUCCGGAAACGUGCCGAUAAUCUUGCUAAAGGCGCAAGUUCUGGAUAUCCUAGCCAAAGUGUAGCAAAAGUUGUGCAGACACUGGAUAAAGCCCUUUUGCAAGGAGAUCUGAUAGAUGCUUAUAAACAGACCUUCACCGAUCUUUAUGAUGGAGCAGUUGGCGAAGGUUGGGUAGCAGCAGUCAGUCCAUGCUUAAGAUCAUCGCUAAAAUGGCUUCAGACUGUGAAUUUGUCAUUGAUUUGCUCAGUUUUUUUCCUUUGUGAGUGGGCAACUUGUGAUUACAGAGAUUUCCGAUUUGGUCCACCCUGUGACAUGAAGUUCACUGGUAGGAAAGAUUUUUCACAAAUAUUUCUUGCAAUUCAACUUUUGAAGCUGAAGAUGAAAGAGCUGCAGAAACAGCACAAGAAGGGAAGGGCAUCAAGAAAGAACAGUCAGCAGAAGAGCUAUUCCAUCAAGGAUUUGUUGGGAAAUACACAUGAAGCUAAAAGCAAUGGAAAAGGUGUGAAUGGUAGAACAAGUAACUCUUCUGAUAUAUUUAACAGUCCAGGUCCUCUGCAUGAUAUUAUUGUCUGCUGGAUCGAUCAGCAUGAUGGGCAUAAAGGAGAAGGUAGCAAGCGUCUUCAGCUUUUUGUAUUGGAACUCAUACGCUCUGGAAUUUUUUAUCCUCAGGCAUAUGUAAGGCAGCUGAUAGUUUGUGGAAUUAUUGAUACAAAUGGACCAAUGGCUGACCUGAACACAAGGAAGAGACACCAACGAAUCUUGAAGCAGCUCCCAGGGCAGUUUAUGGUUGAUGCUUUGGAAGAAGCAAGAAUUGCUGAGGGCUCAGAACUGCUUGAGGCUAUGAAUAUUUACACAAACGAGCGUCGUCUUGUCCUUCAUGAACUUUUUUUUGAUUCAAAUAACAGUACAAGCGAUUCUCAUGUACCAGCUAAGAAGCAAAACUAUCAUUCUACCUCAGGAAGAGAUGUUGCUUCCCAAGUUUCCUGUGAUCAGAGGAAAACUGUUCAGGCCUCAAAGACUUUCAGGAGAGAAGUGAACCUUGAAGAACUGAAGGCUUCCAUCUCAGUUUUGCUGCAAUUUCCUAGUUUAUCUUUUACUUCUGCAGAUAGAGGAGUGGAUGAGUCUCAAGGGAGUAUCAAAAGAUCUAUCGAGUCAACAUACAACAAGAUGGAUUUAUUUGAAGGUACACCUGUGUGUGAAGACUGUAAAAAGGUAAAAAGACAGAAAUUAAUCGAGGAUAAGAGUUCUUGUCUUCAAGUAUCUUCAUCAAUUCCAUCAGAUGAUGAAGAUAGUUGGUGGGUGAGAAAGGGGCCCAAAGUCUUGGAGUCUUCCACAGUUGACCCUCUGCUUAAGACAACAAAGCAAGUGUCUCGUAUUAGGCAAAAGCUUGUCCGUAAAACUCAGUCUCUUGCUCAGUUAGCUGCUUCUAGAAUUGAAGAUAGCCAGGGAGCAUCGACAAGUCACGUAUGUGAUAACAAUAUUAGCUGUCCACAUCAUAGAAAUGAGGUGAAAAUUUUGAAGCCAGAUGAUGUGACCGAAACAACCCAUCAUGGAGAUAUUCUUUUAGUUGCGAAGGGUUUAAAGCAGCUUCACUUUGUAGAGAAGAGGAUUGUCACUUCUUGGUUGCUAUCUGUAGUUAGGCAGCUUGUUGAAGAGUCUGAAAAAUCUGUCGCCAAGGUUGGCCAGUAUGGCCGGCCGUUUGUUGCAGCUGAUGAGAAGAGUCCCUUAAGGUGGAAGCUUGGUGAGGAUGAGCUAUCGUCCAUUCUGUAUCUACUGGAUGUUUCUUGUGAUUCAGUUUCAGCUGUCAAGUUUCUCCUUUGGUUGCUGCCUAAAGCUAUUAGUAAUCCGAGUCCUACCAUUCAUGGUGGGAGGAACAUUCUAGCAGUGCCCAGGAAUGUGGAAAACCACACUUGUGAAGUAGGAGAGGCAUAUCUUUUAUCAUCUCUCCGAAGGUAUGAGAACAUACUUAUUGCCGCAGAUCUUGUGGCUGAAGCUCUGUCUGCCACAAUGAGUCGUGUUUCAGCUUUUAUGGCCACUAAUAGAAGAAUUACAGGUUCCGGAACCCUAGUUUUUUUUCGUUAUUUGUUGAAGAGGUAUGGCAACAUUGCCAGUGUAAUUGAAUGGGAGAAGAAUUUCAAGGGGACUUGUGAUAAAAGACUUUUGUCUGAACUUGAAUCUGGACGAACAGAGGGAGAGUUUGGAUUUCCACUUGGAGUUCCAUCAGGGACUGAAGAUCCUGAUGAUUAUUGCUGUAAGAGGAUAACUGUUGGGCGGUUAUCUAGAGUGGGUUUAAGCAUGAAAGAUAUGGUUCAGCGUCAUAUUGAUGAUGUCUUGCGCUAUAUCUUAGGUAAAGAGAGAAAACAUUUUGCAGCCAAUGCACCGAAAAGCCCUGCCACUGAAAAAGGGGAUGAUGAUUAUCAAGUAGCUCAACAAAUCAUAAUGGGACUAAUGGACUGUUUUAGGCAGACUGGUGGUGCUUUAAAAGAAGGGGACCCAGGUUUGGUGUCCUCUGCUGUUUCUGCCAUUGUUAGUAAUGUUGGACCCACACUAGCAAAUAUACCUGAUUUUACUGGCGGUGGCAAUUAUUCAAAUUAUCAGCCACCUAUGAAUUCCUUGAAUUUUGCUAAGCGCAUAGUGCACAUUCAUUUAAUAUGUCUAUGCCUGCUGAAGGAAGCUCUUGGAGAGCGCAAAAGCCAAGCAUUUGAGAUAGCUCUUGCAACAGAAGCUUCUUCUGCUUUAGCAAAGGCCUCUCUUGGUCAGUUUCAGUUAGCUCCUGAUUCUCAUGAUUCUAAUCCAAACAUAUCUAGUGACAAUUCCCACGGUUCUGCCAAUACAACUUUUGGGAGAACUACCAAAAUGGCAGCUAUUUCUGCCCUUGUCAUUGGAGCUAUUAUUCAUGGAGUUAUUAGCUUGGAGAGAAUGGUAACUGUCUUAAGAUUAAAGGAAGGUUUGGAUGUUGUUCAAUUUGUUAGGAGCACAAAAACCAUUUCUAAUGGUAAUGCUCUAUCUGUUGGGGCUUUUAAGGUGGACAACUCAGUUGAAGUAUAUGUUCACUGGUUUCGGCUAUUUGUUGGGAACUGCAGAACUGUUUGUGAUGGACUAGUUUUGGAACUCUUGGGUGAACAUUCUGUUUUAGCUCUUUCAAGGAUGCAAAGAAUGCUCCCGAUUAAUUUGGUGUUUCCACCAGCUUAUGCAAUAUUUGCAUUUGUGAUAUGGAAGAGAUUCAUUUUGAAUAGUAACAUUGCAAGUCGUGAAGAUAUACAUCAAUUGUAUCAGUCUUUAACAAUGGCCAUUGGAGAUGCCAUAAAACACAUACCUUUUCGAGAUGUUUGUAUGAGGGAUACUCGUGGACUUUAUGAUAUUGUAGCCGCAGAUACUACUGAUGCUGAGUUUGCUGCCUUGCUAGAGUUGAAUGGUUUGGACAUGCAUUUGAAACCCGUGGCCUUUGUCCCUCUUCGUGCAAGGCUCUUUCUAAAUGCAAUAAUUGAUUGUAAAAUGCCUUCUGCAUUUACACAGGAUGAUGGGAAUAGGUUUUCUAGACACGGUGAAUCUAAAGCUCUGCAUGCAGAGACUGGAUCUAAGCUUUUGGAUAAACUUGUUCGUGCCUUGGACAAUCUGCAACCUGCUAAAUUUCAUUGGCAGUGGGUUGAGUUAAGGCUUCUUUUAAAUGAACAAGCUCUUAUUGAUAAGAUGGAGAACCAUGACAUGUCCUUGGUGGAUGCUAUUCACUCUUCCUCAUCUAGCUCUGAAAGAGCCUCACCUUCUGAGAGUGAAAAAGUUUUCAUUGAGAUUAUCCUCACUAGAUUGUUGGUCAGACCUGAUGCUGCUCCCCUUUUCUCAGAGGUGAUUAAUCUUUUUGGGAGAUCAUUAGAGGAUUCAAUGUUGAUGCAGGCUAAAUGGUUCUUAGGAGGCCCAGAUGUUCUUUUGGGGCGGAAAACUGUCAGGCAACGACUCAGUAACAUUGCUGAAACUAAAAACCUUUCUACAAAGAAACAGUUCUGGAAGCCUUGGGGAUGGUCUUAUUCUGGUGUUGAUCUUGUGACUAACAGUGGAGAAAAGAAAAAGUCUGAAGUCACCUCUCUUGAGGAAGGUGAAGUCAUUCAGGAGGGUAUGGAGACAAAGGGAUGUAUAAAAGGGUCCACUCAAGUGGAUGUUGAAGGUUCCAGUAUCAGCCAGCAGCAUGUAACGGAGAAGGCUUUCAUUGAAUUGGUUCUUCCCUGCAUAAACCAAAGCUCUAUUGACUCGUAUAAUAUAUUUGCAAGUGAUUUGAUAAAGCAGUUUAACACCAUUGAGCAACAGAUAAACUCUGUUACUCAUGGUGUAAGCAAGCAGACUGGUGCUGCUGCUUCUGGAAUCGAAGGCUCUACUAAUAAAAUUAAUAAUCGCAAAGGUACAAGAGGUGCUAGUCCUAGGUUGGCUAGACGGGCACCGGCACCUGUGGAGUCUGCACCUCCUUCCCCUGCAGCUUUGCAAGCUUCUCUGUCAUUGAGGUUGCAGUUUAUUGUGAGAUUACUGCCAAUAAUAUGUGCAGAUGGGGAACCGUCAGCACGAAGCAUGAGGCAUAUGCUUGCCUCUGUAAUACUUCGACUGCUUGGAAGUAGGGUUGUGUAUGAGGAUGGGGAACUGGUGCCAUCUGUUGUAUCCUCAGAAAUGUCUGGAGAUGGUCUUUUUGACCGCUUAUUGUUAAUUCUGCAUGGAUUGUUAAGCAGUUGCAGACCUAGUUGGCUAAAGUCGAAGGAUGCCAAGGAUUUUUCUGGAUUUGACCGUGAAUCAGUGGAGGGUUUGCAGAACGAAUUAGAUUCUAUGCAAUUGCCUGAGAUGAUUAGAUGGCAAAUUCAAGCGGCAAUGCCAAUAUUAUUUCCUUCUCUUCGCAGUACGAUCUCCUGCCACCCACCUUCUGUUCCUAUUGGUGCUCUUAGUUCGCUUCAACCCAGCAUCUCUAUUCCUGGAUCUUCCACUGGAACUACGAAUGCCCCUCAGAGACAGGUUGCAUUGGCACGGAUUGCAAAUAAUAUGUCAGGAAAAUCCAAAUCAAUGCCAUUACUGCAGGAGAAUGAUAUGGAAAUUGACCCAUGGACACUUUUGGAAGAUGGAGCAGGAUCAGGUCAGUCUUCCAGUAGCACUGCAGCCAUUGGCAGCAGUGACCGUGCUAAUCUUCGAGCCUCAAGUUGGCUAAAGGGUGCUGUAAGAGUGAGACGGAUAGACCUGUCAUAUAUUAGCGCUGUGGAUGAUGACAGCUGAUUUUAGGUUAUUUUUAAAUUCGGCCUUUUAAGGUUCACAAGGCCCCUCACAAGUCACAACAGAUUUACCGUCAUUUAAAUCCCCACUAUGUCUGGGCCGUGUACUCAUAGCUGCGGUUCGGAGGCUUUGUUGUAUAUAUAGAGAUAAUUGUCAUAGCUUCAGUUAUACCAAUUGAUCAGGUAUAAUAUCGCAAGAAUUACAUGGAGUUAUUCCUUUGCUUAUCAAUCUUGUAGUGCCUUGUGUAGAUGCUCGUUUCUGUCCGGGGCUAAGUCAGAGCAGACCCGAAGCAGAGCAGCCCGAAGCAGAACAGUUGGAGGCCCAAUUCAGCGACCCAGUUCAAGCCCAAUGACCCAACAACAUUAUCAU